CUUGAAGAAAAACUGUGGUUCACAUAGAAAUCAUAUAGAAAAUUAAGAGACAAAGAAUCCACAGUUCUUUUGCUUUUAUUAUAGGCAUUACAUAAGACAGUUAAUUCCUGUGAAGGGUGCCUCAUGAUGAUUUUACAGUUGCUAACAUACAAUAUCCAUGAGGUCAGUUAUCACUAGAAUGGGAUUGUUAAUAGCAACGCUUAGCAGCUGAACAUAAUGAGAGAUACCGCAGCUUUAUUAACAGCUGUCAGCUUGGAUGUAAUGACUUAUAGCAUAGCAGCACCAUGGUUACAGAAAAAAACAAAACUGUUAAUCUUCCAAAAAUA
Non-coding RNA from Pelobates cultripes (western spadefoot toad), 326 nucleotides. The record is from the annotation of a GenBank genome assembly. Lineage: Eukaryota; Metazoa; Chordata; Amphibia; Anura; Pelobatidae.